CUUCCCGGAAGCAAUAUUAAAGGUUUGUUCUUUAUUGCUACACUGAGUUCAUACUGCACUGCACUGAACGGAACUAGUGCAAGCAGGACAUGUUAUUUGUGAGCAAGUAUAAAGAACGCGUCAGUGUAAUAAUCAACAUGGCGAUGAUCUUAAAUGAUUUAUUUGAUUCUUCUGAUGAUGAAAAAAAUAAUAUGUUGUUUCCAUUUCAACCUAUUAUGCGUAACGAUGACGAUGAUUUUUAUGAGUUACACAUGUUACAUCCAAUUUUCGGAUUAGUGCAAAGAAUUGAACAUGUGAAAAUAAACAAUUAUAUCGAACAUAUUGUUCAUAAUUAUAAUAACGUUGAUUUUAUCAUGCAUUUUCGUUUGUCAAGAAGAGCAGCAUAUCAAUUAAUAGACCAAUUUACAGUGUCGGAAAUAUUUACUUCUAUACAAGAUGUGUAUUUAACGAAAUCUAUUUAACUUUAGAUAUAUGAACGUGUACAAAAUAAUAAAAUUAGCGCUGAAAAACAUAUUUUAUGUUAUUUAUGGUUUGUGGGUCAUCAAACAGGAUCUUAUCGAGAUAUAGCAGAUAGAUUCGGAAUAACAAUAAGUGCAUUACAUACAGUAAUAUCAAGAGUAACCGAUUUUAUUUUAGCUUUAGCGCCUAAUAUUAUUAAAUACCCAACUGAUCUCGAAAAAGAACAAACUUCAAACUUUUAUCUACAACAAAAACGAUUUCCUAAUAUAAUUGUGCUAUCGAUGGUUCUCAAAUAAGAAUAGACAAACCUCUUGAAGAUCCUGAUUCCUAUAUAAAUCGGAAACAAUAUUUUC
This is an RNA transcript of Nylanderia fulva, 812 nucleotides long. RefSeq lists it as uncharacterized. The record is from RefSeq and is a predicted model, not a curated record. Lineage: Eukaryota; Metazoa; Arthropoda; Insecta; Hymenoptera; Formicidae.